This 771-nucleotide ribosomal RNA is filed under the name uncultured bacterium. Its description in RNAcentral is "bacterial SSU rRNA". It matches the Rfam family "Bacterial small subunit ribosomal RNA", at positions 37 to 808 of the family's 1533-position model. The record is from RNAcentral.
UGGGGGCGUGCUUAACACAUGCAAGUCGAACGAAGCAAUUUAGCGGAAGUUUUCGGAUGGAAGCUAGAUUGACUGAGUGGCGGACGGGUGAGUAACGCGUGGGUAACCUGCCUCACACUGGGGGACAACAGUUAGAAAUGACUGCUAAUACCGCAUAAGCGCACAGGACCGCAUGGUCCGGUGUGAAAAACUCCGGUGGUGUGAGAUGGACCCGCGUUUGAUUAGCUAGUUGGUGGGGUAACGGCCUACCAAGGCGACGAUCAAUAGCCGACCUGAGAGGGUGACCGGCCACAUUGGGACUGAGACACGGCCCAAACUCCUACGGGAGGCAGCAGUGGGGAAUAUUGCACAAUGGGGGGAACCCUGAUGCAGCGACGCCGCGUGAGUGAAGAAGUAUUUCGGUAUGCAAAGCUCUAUCAGCAGGGAAGAAAAUGACGGUACCUGACUAAGAAGCCCCGGCUAACUACGUGCCAGCAGCCGCGGUAAUACGUAGGGGGCAAGCGUUAUCCGGAUUUACUGGGUGUAAAGGGAGCGUAGACGGUAAAGCAAGUCUGAAGUGAAAGCCCGGGGCUCAACCCCGGGACUGCUUUGGAAACUGUUUAAUUAGAGUGCUGGAGAGGUAAGCGGAAUUCCUAGUGUAGCGGUGAAAUGCGUAGAUAUUAGGAGGAACACCAGUGGCGAAGGCGGCUUACUGGACAGUAACUGACGUUGAGGCUCGAAAGCGUGGGGAGCAAACAAGAGUAGAUACCCUGGUAGUCCACGCCGUAAACG